This 351-nucleotide transfer-messenger RNA is filed under the name bacterium. It matches the Rfam family "transfer-messenger RNA". From Rfam's summary of the family: Bacterial tmRNA, also known as 10Sa RNA or SsrA, is named for its dual tRNA and mRNA-like properties. Its role is to liberate the mRNA from a stalled ribosome. To accomplish this part of the tmRNA is used as a reading frame that ends in a translation stop signal. The record is from RNAcentral.
GGGGAUGACGGGCCUCGACGAAGUUCAUUUCAAAUUAUAUGCAGGUAGUGGUUUAGACAUCCACUUAAAUAGCGUCUAAAAUUAUAAUUGCAAAAAACAAUUAUUCAAACGCUUUAGCAUUUGCCUAAGCGUCGUUCUCUCAAUGACUCUCGCUAGUUGAGAAGAGCGCCAUCAGCGGGAUACUAUUUACAGGGUCUUGGUGUAUUCUAAGCUGUAAACAGGAAACUUAACUAGAAUACUGGUCCGACGUUUUUGCUAAUUUCAAAGUCGGACAAUAACAAAUUGGCUAAACUUGUAGAAUAUAAUUUGAUUAAACCUCGGAUGGCGAUUCAACUUCGCCCAUCUCCACCG